This 253-nucleotide ribosomal RNA is filed under the name uncultured bacterium. RNAcentral's name for it is "partial 16S ribosomal RNA". It matches the Rfam family "Bacterial small subunit ribosomal RNA", at positions 524 to 776 of the family's 1533-position model. The record is from RNAcentral.
UACGUAGGCAGCGAGCGUUGUUCGGAGUUACUGGGCGUAAAGGGUGUGUAGGCGGUUCUUUAAGUUUGGUGUGAAAUCUCCCGGCUUAACCGGGAGGGUGCGCCGAAUACUGAGGGACUAGAGUACGGGAGAGGAAAGUGGAAUUCCUGGUGUAGCGGUGAAAUGCGUAGAUAUCAGGAGGAACGCCGGUGGUGUAGACGGCUUUCUGGACCGUAACUGACGCUGAGACACGAAAGCGUGGGUAGCAAACAGG